Molecule: long non-coding RNA, 1796 nt
Organism: Mastomys coucha (southern multimammate mouse)
Lineage: Eukaryota; Metazoa; Chordata; Mammalia; Rodentia; Muridae
Exons: 3
Source: RefSeq, a predicted model, not a curated record
AGCCCAGGCUCCUGUCUCAUUUUGAAGGCCCCAUCAGCCCUCAAAAUAUCACAAUCCUUAGCAACAAUCUAUAAACAUUUGUCCUUCUACCCACAGAUAAAUGUAGUCUUGACCCUUCAUCAAGAAAAUGUCCUUUGUAAAAGAUGGAGACCACUAGAGAAAUCUACAACCAAUCAAAAUACAGAAUGAUGGAACCUGGUCCCAGUGGAUACAUCUACAGAACACUCCUGUGCCUAAGGCUCAAGGAACUUUGCAGAAGAGGGGCAGAAAGAUUGGAAGAGAUGGAGGAUCAGGGAGUUUGCCGUGAGACUGUCUGCUAGUAACAUCAGAAGACAAACCUAUGAAGUCUCACCAACAUUACUGCCCAAAUGUGUACCAAGUAAGGAUGGCACUAAUGGACAUGCCAAUCGGACACACAGAACUGAGGAAAGCUGAGGGAAGCCCCCCAGUACCAAAUGGUCAGCCCUGCAAACAUAGAUGGACCAUCAAGCCCUGACAAGAAGCCAGCAGAGUCUGCACCCACGCUCUUGACCCUCCCCUACCUUCAGAACCUUAGUGUAAAUAAGCCAUGUCUACAAACUGUCUCAGGUAGUCUGUUAUAACUGCAAAGCUGACCAAGACAAGAUCGAAUGGACCAUAGCCGGACUAUGCUUUUAAGCCCUUCCCUGUCUUGGAUUACAGAUUGCUGGGCUGUUAGGCAGCUGGAUGUAUGCAAAGUUGAGGUCAGCAGUGCCUCUGUGAGUGUGUGCAUACUUCCAAGCUGCUUUGGGCAUUGCUUGCUUUUGUUUCCAGUGAGUGAGGAGCAGUAAGAGUUGGUGUGGGGAAGCCCAGAUAUUUUUGUUCAAAGUCUGUUCGGAAGAAGCCUGACCCACACGGGGAUGGAGGACAGCUGAAGACUGACUAGGCCCUGGGAUGUGGUCUUAGGUGAUCAGAACUCAGCAGUUCCUCCAAUUGCCUAGCACCGUUAUGGUCAGCAGUGGGGGCUACAAAGUCUGUUGGGAGAGCUUGGCUCCUGCCCAGAUCAGGUGUGAGCCACUGGCUGCCACCCCCAGACUCUCCCCACCGUGGUCUGCAGUUCUCUCACCCUGGUCACUUGCUUCUCAUGAUUUUUCUGGCAGCAGAAGCUCUUUACUCCCAGGGUGAAGACAGGAUGAACUUUGAGGCAGCGUGACCUCUUGCAGGCCUUGGGGAACUAUUGGCCACCUCGGGGCCUUCUGAGCCACCCGUGACUUCCCAGCAACAUGUUGCCUUACAGUAUGCUGCCCACUCAUGCCCACUCCUGCCCACUCAUGCCCACUCAUGCCCUGCUUUGGCUCUUUUUCUCCCCCAUGGCCUGAGCCAUGCUCCCUAAUUUCCCAUGCUGUAUUUGGCAGCUUUUAUGGGUCCCUCCUGCUAUAGGCUCCUCACCGGUGACCCUAGAGGCUGAACUAUACUGCAGCAAACCCAUUUUUAUGGAUUCCUUUCCCUAGGCCAAUUUCCUUUUCUAGGCGGGUGCUCAUUUCUUUCUGUCCUCACACUCCAGAUCUCAGCGAAGCUGUUGCCUAGAAUCACCCUGUGUGAAGUCCCACGGCCUUAGCACAGGCCACAGCCAUGAAAAAUGGUUAAUGUUCCCAUAGAUGACUCUGCUGUGCAGCUACGGCCCAGAGCUCUGGGCUGAAGAUCAGCUCCGUGAGGCCAGAUCCUCUUCUAUAUUGUUCCUCUGUGUCUGACAACGAAAGAGCAGGUGCUCUGCUAAGAGCUGUAUGGGAAUAAGCCACGUAGCCAAACACACCCUCUUUAAAGUCUUCCACAUAGGG